AUAAAAUAUAAUAAUUUUAAUUUUAAAAAAAUUAUGGGUAUAUUUUUUAGAGUUUUUUUGCAUACACGUCCCUUCAAAAAUAGUGAAUUACAGAAAUAUCCUUGUAAAACGAAAAUUUCAUAAGUUGUCGCUAUAAAAGUCCUAAGUUAUGCAGAUAUAUCCCUCUGAUUUAAAUCCGUUAGUGAAUUGUUUAUUUCUUAACAGUUUUCUUGUGAAAUGAUCUUUUUGCCCUCAUAAAUAUAUCCCUCCAAAAGUAUCCCUCUUCUUUUUCACCUCCCCUUUCUCUUCCUCUUCGGGCCGCCGGAGCGGACGACGGCGGCGGCGCGGGGUUGAGUUCGUCGAAGACGAAGAAGAGGGAAGAGAAAGAAGAAGAGGAAGAAGAAAAAGGAAGAGGAAGAGGGAAGAGGAAGAGGAAGAGGAAGAGGGAGAGGGUUUGCCGCCGCCGCCGCCGCGGCAUCUCCUCUCUUGCCGGCGACGAAAAAGAGGAAAGAGGAAGAGGGAGAGGGUUUGCCGCCGUUGCCGCCGCCGCCGCCGCAUCUCCUCCCUCACCGGCGACGAAGAAGAGGGAAGAGAAAGAGGAGGAAGAGGAAGAAGGGUAAAUCCGUCAAUUCACAUUAUAAUUAAUCAUGGUUAAGUAUUUUAACCGUAGUUAACGAAAAUUUUCUAACAAACCUUAACGGCAGGGAUAUAUCUGCAUAACUUAGGACUUUUGCAGGGACAACUUAUGGAAUUUCCGUUUUGCAGAGAUAUAUCUGUAAUUCACUAUGUUUGGAGGGACGUGUAUACAAAUAACCUUAUUUUUUAUAGGAGUAUAAAUUAUACUAGUACAUAGAGACCCACGCGAUGCAGCGGGUAGAUAAUAGAAGCAAAAUUUAAAAAUUUUAAUAAAAUUUAUAUUUACGGGUUAUUGAUAUAUAGAAAGCUAUACCAUGUUAAGUACAGCCAAUUUGCAUGACUAAAUUCAACUGUUAAAAAAAUAAAAUUAUAACUAAAAUCCAUUUAUUGAUAAAAUAUUAAUAUGGUGCAUGUAAUUAAUUGUUGCACCUUACAUGUAAUUAGAGGAGUGGGAAGGUGAAGGGUUGGGCGUUGAGAAGAGAAGAAGGUGGUUUGAUUUAAAAUUGGGCUAUGAGAAUGAAGGGUAACAUAUUACACGGUAAAAAAAAAUUUUAUGAUGCAUGCAAAAGAGUUACAAAAGAGAGGGGGUAGGAGAUUAAUGGAGAAAGGAGUCGAUUAAAAUUAUAAAACCCAUUCAUUAAUAGAAUAUUAAUAUGGUGCAUAUAAUUAAAUGUUGCACCUUGCAUGUAAUUAGAGGAGCAGAGAGGUGAAGAGUUGGACGUUGAAAAAAAAAAAAAAGAUGGUCUGAUUUAAAGUUGAGCUAUGAGAAUGAAAGGUAACAUGCCACGUGGUAAAAAAUAUUGUGGCUUCAUAUAGGUUUAUCGAUAUAACUGUUGAUAUAAGCUUAGUUUGGUAUUGAGAUAUAUAUGAUACUAUUAAAAUAAAAUAGAGUUGAGAUAAAAAUAUAUAGAGAAAUGUUUAUACAUUCUUCGGUGGAACCGCAUAAAAUAUAUCAUAACCGACUCAUCGCGAUAUGCGCAACGCAAUAUUACGUACGGAAACAAACAAAAUAUUUUUUAUUAUUUUUCCAUCAUACUUGCUUAUCGCACGUAACGCAAUCUUUCCCUUUU
Molecule: long non-coding RNA, 1685 nt
Filed under: Ananas comosus (pineapple)
Lineage: Eukaryota; Viridiplantae; Streptophyta; Magnoliopsida; Poales; Bromeliaceae
Description: long non-coding RNA (ACOM_LNC031812)
Source: RNAcentral